This 602-nucleotide ribosomal RNA is filed under the name Streptomyces pseudogriseolus. Its description in RNAcentral is "SSU rRNA". It matches the Rfam family "Bacterial small subunit ribosomal RNA", at positions 887 to 1482 of the family's 1533-position model. Lineage: Bacteria; Bacillati; Actinomycetota; Actinomycetes; Kitasatosporales; Streptomycetaceae. The record is from RNAcentral.
CGCAAGGCUAAAACUCAAAGAAUUGACGGGGCCCGCACAAGCGGCGGAGCAUGUGGCUUAAUUCGACGCAACGCGAAGAACCUUACCAAGGCUUGACAUACACCGGAAAGCAUCAGAGAUGGUGCCCCCCUUGUGGUCGGUGUACAGGUGGUGCAUGGCUGUCGUCAGCUCGUGUCGUGAGAUGUUGGGUUAAGUCCCGCAACGAGCGCAACCCUUGUCCCGUGUUGCCAGCAGGCCCUUGUGGUGCUGGGGACUCACGGGAGACCGCCGGGGUCAACUCGGAGGAAGGUGGGGACGACGUCAAGUCAUCAUGCCCCUUAUGUCUUGGGCUGCACACGUGCUACAAUGGCCGGUACAAUGAGCUGCGAUACCGCGAGGUGGAGCGAAUCUCAAAAAGCCGGUCUCAGUUCGGAUUGGGGUCUGCAACUCGACCCCAUGAAGUCGGAGUCGCUAGUAAUCGCAGAUCAGCAUUGCUGCGGUGAAUACGUUCCCGGGCCUUGUACACACCGCCCGUCACGUCACGAAAGUCGGUAACACCCGAAGCCGGUGGCCCAACCCCUUGUGGGAGGGAGCUGUCGAAGGUGGGACUGGCGAUUGGGACG